RNAcentral lists this ribosomal RNA (35 nucleotides) under Hyphoderma nudicephalum. RNAcentral's name for it is "partial 28S ribosomal RNA". The record is from RNAcentral. Lineage: Eukaryota; Fungi; Basidiomycota; Agaricomycetes; Polyporales; Hyphodermataceae.
GCGUUUGACCUCAAAUCAGGUAGGAUUACCCGCUG